CUAACCAUGCAAGUCGAACGGGAUCCAUCAGGCUUUGCUUGGGGUGAGAGUGGCGAACGGGUGAGUAAUGCGUGACCGACCUGCCCCAUACACCGGAAUAGCUCCUGGAAACGGGUGGUAAUGCCGGAUGCUCCAGUUGAUCGCAUGGUCUUCUGGGAAAGCUUUCGCGGUAUGGGAUGGGGUCGCGUCCUAUCAGCUUGACGGCGGGGUAACGGCCCACCGUGGCUUCGACGGGUAGCCGGCCUGAGAGGGCGACCGGCCACAUUGGGACUGAGAUACGGCCCAGACUCCUACGGGAGGCAGCAGUGGGGAAUAUUGCACAAUGGGCGCAAGCCUGAUGCAGCGACGCCGCGUGAGGGAUGGAGGCCUUCGGGUUGUAAACCUCUUUUAUCGGGGAGCAAGCGAGAGUGAGUUUACCCGUUGAAUAAGCACCGGCUAACUACGUGCCAGCAGCCGCGGUAAUACGUAGGGUGCAAGCGUUAUCCGGAAUUAUUGGGCGUAAAGGGCUCGUAGGCGGUUCGUCGCGUCCGGUGUGAAAGUCCAUCGCUUAACGGUGGAUCCGCGCCGGGUACGGGCGGGCUUGAGUGCGGUAGGGGAGACUGGAAUUCCCGGUGUAACGGUGGAAUGUGUAGAUAUCGGGAAGAACACCAAUGGCGAAGGCAGGUCUCUGGGCCGUUACUGACGCUGAGGAGCGAAAGCGUGGGGAGCGAACAGGAUUAGAUACCCUGGUAGUCCACGCCGUAAACGGUGGAUGCUGGAUGUGGGGCCCGUUCCACGGGUUCCGUGUCGGAGCUAACGCGUUAAGCAUCCCGCCUGGGGAGUACGGCCGCAAGGCUAAAACUCAAAGAAAUUGACGGGGGCCCGCACAAGCGGCGGAGCAUGCGGAUUAAUUCGAUGCAACGCGAAGAACCUUACCUGGGCUUGACAUGUUCCCGACGGUCGUAGAGAUACGGCUUCCCUUCGGGGCGGGUUCACAGGUGGUGCAUGGUCGUCGUCAGCUCGUGUCGUGAGAUGUUGGGUUAAGUCCCGCAACGAGCGCAACCCUCGCCCCGUGUUGCCAGCGGAUUAUGCCGGGAACUCACGGGGGACCGCCGGGGUUAACUCGGAGGAAGGUGGGGAUGACGUCAGAUCAUCAUGCCCCUUACGUCCAGGGCUUCACGCAUGCUACAAUGGCCGGUACAACGGGAUGCGACGCGG
Molecule: ribosomal RNA, 1197 nt
Filed under: Bifidobacterium longum
Lineage: Bacteria; Bacillati; Actinomycetota; Actinomycetes; Bifidobacteriales; Bifidobacteriaceae
Description: bacterial SSU rRNA
Rfam family: Bacterial small subunit ribosomal RNA
Source: RNAcentral